AACGAACGCUGGCGGCAGGCCUAACACAUGCAAGUCGAGCGAGGACUUCGGUCCUAGCGGCGGACGGGUGGGUAACGCGUGGGAACGUGCCCUUUGGUACGGAAUAGCCCCGGGAAACUGGGAGUAAUACCGUAUGGUGUCUUCGGACUAAAGAUUUAUCGCCAAAGGAUCGGCCCGCGUUGGAUUAGGUAGUUGGUGGGGUAAUGGCCUACCAAGCCGACGAUCUAUAGCUGGUUUGAGAGGAUGAUCAGCCACACUGGGACUGAGACACGGCCCAGACUCCUACGGGAGGCAGCAGUGGGGAAUCUUAGACAAUGGGGGCAACCCUGAUCUAGCCAUGCCGCGUGAGUGAUGAAGGCCCUAGGGUUGUAAAGCUCUUUCAGCUGGGAAGAUAAUGACGGUACCAGCAGAAGAAGCCCCGGNUAACUCCGUGCCAGCAGCCGCGG
RNAcentral lists this ribosomal RNA (446 nucleotides) under uncultured bacterium. RNAcentral describes it as "bacterial SSU rRNA". It matches the Rfam family "Bacterial small subunit ribosomal RNA", at positions 29 to 520 of the family's 1533-position model. The record is from RNAcentral.